RNAcentral lists this long non-coding RNA (387 nucleotides) under Phoenix dactylifera (date palm). RNAcentral describes it as "long non-coding RNA (PDAC_LNC004100)". Lineage: Eukaryota; Viridiplantae; Streptophyta; Magnoliopsida; Arecales; Arecaceae. The record is from RNAcentral.
AGUCUUUGUCAAAUGUAAAAACAUGACCUUCCUGUGCUAGACAUGAAACAGAAAUCAAAUUUCUGCUAGCAGUAGGUACAUAAUAGCAGUCUCUAAGUAAUAAACUAAAUCCAGACGGUAGUCGCAGAUGGUAGGUGCCCACAGCCACAGCAGCAACUUUUGCCCCGUUGCCAACCCGAAGGGUUACCGCACCUUCCGCAGCCUUCUACUUUUCUUUAGACCCUGCAUGGUAGUGCACAAAUGAGCACUAGAACCAGAAUCUAUAACCCAACUAGAAGUAGAAGAAACCGUUAGAUUAGUUUCAAUAAUGAGCAAGUCUAUACCUUCUGAAGGUAUGUCACCUUUCUUGUUCUUCAGGCUCUCGAGGUAUGAAGGACAGUUUCUCUU